CUUUGUCGCCUAGAGGUAUCCUGGCAACCUGUCAACAAAAGGGAAAGGACAGAGUUCUCUGGUAACAGAUUGGAAAAAUCCAAAACAAGGGGUGAAGGAACUCAGAAACCAACAGUCAAAUAGAAAGCCUAUGCAUUGACAGUUAUAUACCUACGUGUGAAUACUGCCUCAGGAUCCGAAGGCGGGUGCCCUUCCCAUUCCUCUCUAUGACCACAGCAGCUUCUAUUGCUCAAGAUGAGCCAUGACAAAACAAAUGACACAUUUGUGCUGUUGAAGGAAAACUCAGUGACUCAGAUAGACACAAAUUGUUCCAUACACCUUUCAUCCUCAUUACCAGGGACACAGUAUAGCGUGUAUUUGCAGCAUUUCUGAAGUCAAACAGCUUUCUAUAUUGGAAUUUACUCUGGUUUUUCCCUGCAAAGAUUUAUUUUUCUCUGGAGUAACACUCAAUAUGCUCUAUUGUAUCAAAAGUCUGAGUGAAAACAUUUCAAGACAGAGAAGCAUUUUCACAGUGUCAAGGACUCAAGCUUCUUAUAUCUUGUUGCUGCAUCAUCAUGGAGCUUUUCUGCUUCAUUGUCUGAGAUGGCUGCUCAAGUUCCCACCAUUACAUCUCUAAUCCAACCAGAUAUAAAGGGAAAAGAGGAAAUGGAAGAGAUGUCCCUCCCAUUAAAAGCCAUGUAGGACUUUAAGGACCAUGCACCAGUCACAGAGAGAGAGAGAGAGAGAGAGAGAGAGAGGCAGAGACACAAGCAGAGGGAGAAGCAGG
Long non-coding RNA from Canis lupus familiaris (dog), 766 nucleotides. RefSeq lists it as uncharacterized. The record is from RefSeq and is a predicted model, not a curated record. The transcript is spliced from 5 exons. NCBI's taxonomy places the organism in Eukaryota, Metazoa, Chordata, Mammalia, Carnivora, Canidae.